UUGAUUUAUUUGCUUGUUUACUCAGAAGAAUACUAAAAAAGACAAGAGUUUGGGUCCUCCGGCGGGCGCCUGGGUCCGGGCCCGAAGGCGCCGGGGCGAUCCCGCCGAAGCAACGAUAGGUAUGUUCACAGGGGUUUGGGAGUUGUAAACUCGGUAAUGAUCCCUCCGCUGGUUCACCAACGGAGA
RNAcentral lists this unclassified non-coding RNA (186 nucleotides) under uncultured fungus. Its description in RNAcentral is "sequence contains ITS1". Lineage: Eukaryota; Fungi. The record is from RNAcentral.